UACGAAGGGGGCUAGCGUUGUUCGGAAUUACUGGGCGUAAAGCGCACGUAGGCGGGUUGUUAAGUCAGGGGUGAAAUCCCGGAGCUCAACUCCGGAACUGCCUUUGAUACUGGCAAUCUAGAGACUGGAAGAGGUUAGUGGAAUUCCCAGUGUAGAGGUGAAAUUCGUAGAUAUUGGGAAGAACACCAGUGGCGAAGGCGACUACCUGGACUGAUACUGACACUGAGGUGCGAAAGCGUGGGGAGCAAACAGGAUUAGAAACCCGUGUAGU
This 271-nucleotide ribosomal RNA is filed under the name uncultured bacterium. Its description in RNAcentral is "partial 16S ribosomal RNA". It matches the Rfam family "Bacterial small subunit ribosomal RNA", at positions 524 to 794 of the family's 1533-position model. The record is from RNAcentral.